RNAcentral lists this non-coding RNA (30 nucleotides) under Homo sapiens (human). Lineage: Eukaryota; Metazoa; Chordata; Mammalia; Primates; Hominidae. The record is from RNAcentral.
UGGAGAAGCAGGAGAGCGGGUGGUGGUAUA